RNAcentral lists this ribosomal RNA (467 nucleotides) under uncultured bacterium. RNAcentral's name for it is "partial 16S ribosomal RNA". It matches the Rfam family "Bacterial small subunit ribosomal RNA", at positions 28 to 507 of the family's 1533-position model. The record is from RNAcentral.
GACGAACGCUGGCGGCGUGCUUAACACAUGCAAGUCGAACGGAAAGGCCUCUUUCGGGGGGUACUCGCGUGGCGAACGGGUGAGUAACACGUGAGUAACCUGCCCUUGACUUUGGGAUAACUUCAGGAAACUGGGGCUAAUACCGGCUAGGAGCUCCUGCUGCAUGGUGGGGGUUGGAAAGUUUCGGCGGUUGGGGGUGGACUCGCGGCUUAUCAGCUUGUUGGUGGGGUAGUGGCUUACCAAGGCUUUGACGGGUAGCCGGCCUGAGAGGGUGACCGGCCACAUUGGGACUGAGAUACGGCCCAGACUCCGACGGGAGGCAGCAGUGGGGAAUAUUGCACAAUGGGUGGAAGCCUGAUGCAGAAACGCCGUGGGCGGGAUGACGGCCUUCGGGUUGUAAACCGCUUUCGCUCAUGACGAAGCUUUGUGUGACGGUAGUGGGUAAAGAAGCACCGGCUAACUACGUG